Molecule: transfer RNA, 51 nt
Filed under: Herennia multipuncta
Lineage: Eukaryota; Metazoa; Arthropoda; Arachnida; Araneae; Nephilidae
Description: tRNA-Leu
Source: RNAcentral
AUCUUUUUGGCAGAACAUUUGCAUUAGAUUUAGAAUCUAAUUAAACUAAAU